GAUGAAGAACGCAGCGAAAUGCGAUAAGUAAUGUGAAUUGCAGAAUUCAGUGAAUCAUCGAGUCUUUGAACGCACAUUGCGCCCCCUGGUAUUCCGGGGGGCAUGCCUGUCCGAGCGUCAUUGCCGCCCUCAAGCACGGCUUGUGUGUUGGGCCCCCGCCCCCCGGCUUCGGGGGGCGGGCCCGAAAGGCAGCGGCGGCACCGCGUCCGGUCCUCGAGCGUAUGGGGCUUCGUCACCCGCUCUGUAGGCCCGGCCGGCGCGCGCCGGCGACCCCAAUCAAUCUUUCCAGGUUGACCUCGGAUCAGGUAGGGAUACCCGCUGAACUUAAGCAUAUCAAUAAGCGGAGGA
RNAcentral lists this unclassified non-coding RNA (348 nucleotides) under soil metagenome. RNAcentral's name for it is "partial contains 5.8S ribosomal RNA, internal transcribed spacer 2, and large subunit ribosomal RNA". The stretch from base 1 to 120 matches the Rfam family "5.8S ribosomal RNA", at positions 35 to 154 of the family's 154-position model. The record is from RNAcentral.